Molecule: ribosomal RNA, 252 nt
Filed under: uncultured bacterium
Lineage: Bacteria
Description: partial 16S ribosomal RNA
Rfam family: Bacterial small subunit ribosomal RNA
Source: RNAcentral
UACGUAGGUGGCAAGCGUUGUCCGGAAUUAUUGGGCGUAAAGCGCGCGCAGGCGGUUAUGUUAUUCUGAUGUUAAAGCCCGGGGCUCAUCCUCGGUUCGCAUUGGAAAUUGUGUAACUUGAGUGCAGAAGAGGAAAGUGGUAUUCCACGUGUAGCGGUGAAAUGCGGAGAGAUGUGGAGGAACACCAGUGGCGCAGGCGGCUUUCUGGUCUGUAACUGACGCUGGGGCGCGAAAGCGUGGGGAGCAAACAGG